CCUACGGGAGGCUGCAGUGGAGAAUCUUGGGCAAUGGGCGCAAGCCUGACCCAGCAACGCCGCGUGAAGGAAGAAGGCUUUCGGGUUGGAAACUUCUUUUAUCAGGGACGAAGCAAGUGACGGUACCUGAUGAAUAAGCCACGGCUAACUACGUGCCAGCAGCCGCGGUAAUACGUAGGUGGCAAGCGUGAUCCGGAUUUACUGGGUGUAAAGGGCGGGUAGGCGGGAGUGCAAGUCGGAUGUGAAAACUAUGGGCUCAACCCAUAGCCGGCAUUUGAUACUGUACGUCUUGAGUGCUGGAGGGGCAAUCGGAAUUCCGGGUGUAGCAGUGAAAUGCGUAGAUAUACGGAGGAACACCAGUGGCGAAGGCGGAUUGCUGGACAGUAACUGACGCUGAGGCGCGAAGGCGAGGGGAGCGAACGGGAUUAGAUACCCUAGUAGUC
Molecule: ribosomal RNA, 443 nt
Filed under: uncultured bacterium
Lineage: Bacteria
Description: partial 16S ribosomal RNA
Rfam family: Bacterial small subunit ribosomal RNA
Source: RNAcentral